CAUUUUGCACUUGGACCUGA
This 20-nucleotide unclassified non-coding RNA is filed under the name Mus musculus (house mouse). RNAcentral describes it as "oocyte_clustered_small_RNA11122". Lineage: Eukaryota; Metazoa; Chordata; Mammalia; Rodentia; Muridae. The record is from RNAcentral.